UGAGGAAUAUUGGUCAAUGGGGGCAACCCUGAACCAGCCAAGUCGCGUGAAGGAUGAAGGUCUUAUGGAUUGUAAACUUCUUUUAUACAGGAAUAAAUUGGGGGACGUGUCCCCUUUUGCAUGUACUGUAUGAAUAAGGAUCGGCUAACUCCGUGCCAGCAGCCGCGGUAAUACGGAGGAUCCGAGCGUUAUCCGGAUUUAUUGGGUUUAAAGGGUGCGCAGGCGGGAUGUUAAGUCGGCGGUGAAAUUUUGCAGCUCAACUGUAAAAGUGCCUUCGAUACUGGCUUCCUUGAGUGUAGAUGAAGUAGGCGGAAUUUGUGAUGUAGCGGUGAAAUGCUUAGAUAUCACGAGGAACUCCGAUUGCGCAGGCAGCUUACUAAACUACAACUGACGCUCAUGCACGAAGGCGUGGGGAUCAAACA
Molecule: ribosomal RNA, 422 nt
Filed under: uncultured bacterium
Lineage: Bacteria
Description: bacterial SSU rRNA
Rfam family: Bacterial small subunit ribosomal RNA
Source: RNAcentral